This 336-nucleotide unclassified non-coding RNA is filed under the name soil metagenome. RNAcentral describes it as "partial contains 5.8S ribosomal RNA, internal transcribed spacer 2, and large subunit ribosomal RNA". The stretch from base 1 to 120 matches the Rfam family "5.8S ribosomal RNA", at positions 35 to 154 of the family's 154-position model. The record is from RNAcentral.
GAUGAAGAACGCAGCGAAAUGCGAUAAGUAAUGUGAAUUGCAGAAUUCAGUGAAUCAUCGAAUCUUUGAACGCACAUUGCGCCCGCCAGUAUUCUGACGGGCAUGCCUGUUCGAGCGUCAUUUCAACCAUCAAGCCCCCGGCUUGUGUUGGGGACCUGCGGCUGCCGCAGGCCCUGAAAACCAGUGGCGGGCUCGCUGUCACACCGAGCGUAGUAGAUUUUCAUCUCGCUCAGGGCGUGCUGCGGGUUCCGGCCGUAAAAAGCCUUAUUUACCCAAGGUUGACCUCGGAUCAGGUAGGAAGACCCGCUGAACUUAAGCAUAUCAAUAAGCGGAGGA